Molecule: long non-coding RNA, 1445 nt
Organism: Mytilus trossulus (common blue mussel)
Lineage: Eukaryota; Metazoa; Mollusca; Bivalvia; Mytilida; Mytilidae
Exons: 3
Source: RefSeq, a predicted model, not a curated record
AAGUGAAAAGAAGUUAAUAGCAUGAUAUUAUGAAUUUACGUUUACAACAUACAUUUUUACUUUCAACAUUAACUUAUUGAAACGUAUAAUAUUUCGAAAAUAAGGACCACCGUAUGUUCAUAAUGGUUAUAUCCAGUGGGUAAUACACAUGCUGGUUCUUUUCUUUUUCUUAUCAUAUUUUAUUGCUAGAGAUGCUAAUUGGGUGGUAUAUCCUUCUAAUGUCACCUCUUUGAUUGACCAAAUACUCGGAAGGAAGUAUUAUAUUGAAUACACCGUAUGGCAAUGUAUGGUUAACCGUUAUCAUGUUUAUUCUUACAUCAGUAGAACUUGCGCGGUUCAAUAAUAAUUUGGGAUUAUUGUGUGGCCAGUGAUGGAUUAUGUCGCGUGUUUUGUAAUACACGCAGUACUGUAAAGUGAAAAGAGGUCAUUCUGCUGUGUACUUUAUUCAAUGGUAGAGAAAGAUGGAGUUCAUUAGAAAAAGAAAAUGAGACUGAUGGGAUUUCGUUUUAAACUUAAAGGAAGAAGAGUCUGAAGCUAAGGUGUAUAGUUACGACAGUUCUGACGAAUCACCAAAGAAAAAGAAUAACUCGACUUGAGUUCUGGUGGCCUAGGUGCAGUGAAUUCGAAAUAUCAAGAGCGACCCUCAAAUACAGAAUAUGAAAGAAAAAGACUUCACUAUCUAUGAGUACCAACAUAAUCUUUAAGCAGUUCAAUGGAUUUUGAAUCCAGACCAGACAGUCAAGAGAAUUAACCGUAAAUAGAAAAUUAGCAAAAGUGACAGCAACACACGUAUGUUUCGAUUGGUGUGAUAGAUUUAAGACAGGAGUAGCAGACUGUGGUGCAUUGCUUCCAAAAUCUUGACAAAACAACAACUGAACACCUUUUUGUCUCUUUUAAGUAGGAUUGUGCUAAAAAAAAAAAAAAUGCCAGAAAUUGAUAUGGGAUAGUUUGAAAGAAGUACUUUCAAAAUGACACAUACCGGUACAUUAUUAGCACAAGUAUUCAUUGCAAUGUGACAAUUUCUGAUUUUGUGUAUUUUCAACUUUUUAUUUCUUUAUAAACUUUAAAUAAUUUGAUGAACUGCAAGUAUUAUUUGAAUAUGAACACGUAAGUCUCAAGUGUGGUUCGUGCAAUUUUUAACUGCUUUUCGUUUAAAAAGGGGUUUCCCUUAAAAGAAAAUUUAAUCAAGACAUCAAAAUAAAAUAUUGAACUCGAUAAGGGAGACGGAUUUAUAAAAGUUUUUCCAAACUUGUUUCCGAAUCCCAUAUUUGAACUUUAUGUAACAUUGUAAUAUUUGUCUUGACAUUUUUUCAUUAAUAAAUACUGUUUAAACUAAUCCUCUCCUAGCCUGGGAUCGUGGUGUAAUAUCACACCAUACGAAUAAGUAUUUAGAUAGUCCAGUAUCAUUUAAAUACAAUAGCUUUCAAAAUUUCACUUAAUUUUGA